CCUACGGGUGGCUGCAGUGGGGAAUAUUGGACAAUGGGGGGAACCCUGAUCCAGCCAUGCCGCGUGUGUGAAGAAGGCCCUCGGGUUGUAAAGCACUUUCAGUGAAGAAGAACGCCUGGUGGUUAAUACCCAUCAGGAAAGACAUCACUCACAGAAGAAGCACCGGCUAACUCCGUGCCAGCAGCCGCGGUAAUACGGAGGGUGCGAGCGUUAAUCGGAAUUACUGGGCGUAAAGCGCGCGUAGGUGGCUUGAUAAGCCGGUUGUGAAAGCCCCGGGCUCAACCUGGGAACGGCAUCCGGAACUGUCAAGCUAGAGUGCAGGAGAGGAAGGUAGAAUUCCCGGUGUAGCGGUGAAAUGCGUAGAGAUCGGGAGGAAUACCAGUGGCGAAGGCGGCCUUCUGGACUGACACUGACACUGAGGUGCGAAAGCGUGGGUAGCAAACAGGAUUAGAUACCCGUGUAGUC
This 465-nucleotide ribosomal RNA is filed under the name Vreelandella stevensii. RNAcentral describes it as "partial 16S ribosomal RNA". It matches the Rfam family "Bacterial small subunit ribosomal RNA", at positions 338 to 795 of the family's 1533-position model. The record is from RNAcentral. Lineage: Bacteria; Pseudomonadati; Pseudomonadota; Gammaproteobacteria; Oceanospirillales; Halomonadaceae.